RNAcentral lists this ribosomal RNA (1308 nucleotides) under Triticum aestivum (bread wheat). RNAcentral describes it as "partial small subunit ribosomal RNA". The record is from RNAcentral. Lineage: Eukaryota; Viridiplantae; Streptophyta; Magnoliopsida; Poales; Poaceae.
AUGGCGUCGUGGUCCGACCUCCCGCUGGAUCUCCUCGGCAUCGUCAUCGCCUGUUUCGGCACUUUGCCUGUCGACCGUGUGCGCUUUGCCGCCGUCUGUCGAUCGUGGCAUGCCGCCGUGCGCCGCCACGAGCGACGUCGCCUGCCGUGGGUCAUGUCAUGGGACGACCGCGUCAUGAUCCCCUUCGACGGCUCCGAGUAUAACCUUCUAUGCUUCCCCGAAGACGGCGUCGGGGUCGUCGGCUCCACGGACUCCUGGCUUGCCGUCGGCCUCGGCACCAAGCAGGAGUUCGAGGAGGGGAGCAGGUGCAUCUACACCGGCUACGUCCUGCACAACCCCUUCUCCAACACGACCGUGCCGCUCACCGUGCUCAACGACGUCAUCAUCAACAUUGGGACCUGCUUGAUCUACAAGUUCCUCAUGCGCUCCACUGUCGAUGACUUCGUCGCCGUCGUGGCAAACAAUGAGAACUACCCGAUCAUUGUGUUUCGGCAAGGGACAGGAGCGUGGGUGCCACGCCCGUGCACGGCUCCCUACAUCAACAUCAUCGAUGUGGCGUUUUUGGGAAGCACACUCUACGCCAUAACCAAGGUUGAGGACCUGAUCCCACUCAAUCUUGCAUUGGAUGGCGAUGGCAAGCCCCUAGUCACCAUUGGCAAGCGUGUUAUCAGGCAACCACCAGGUUAUGAUGGUUAUGAUGCGUGGAACACUUCCGAUGAUGAUGAUGAAGAUCAUAGUGAUGAUGAGAGAGAUGAAGAAGAUGGUGACGACGGUAAUGAUACAGAAGAGGAGGACGUGCCUGACCACGAUGGGGAUAUAGAAGAGGAUGGGAACGAGGAUCACCAGGAGCAGGAGAUAGCUCUCGAUGGCGAGGUGCCCCCAGACGAUGAUGGCAGCCAUCAUUCAAGUUUCUCGGGUGAAUUUACACAUGGCAAAGUAACUGGCGAGUUCAUCAUUAUUUCACGACAUCUCAUCGUGUCAUCCGGAAAACUCAUGGUGAGGCGGCAUAAAUACUAUACGGUUUCCAUAUGUACUCGUCGUGUGGAAAUAUUGGAGGCGGAUGCAAGCACGGGCGCAUGGGUGCCAUUGGAUGUUAGCGAUGGGUUAGGCGGCGGCCGGGCACUCUUCAUUAGCAUGAAUUUCUCUAAGUCCGUUUCAGCGCCUUGUGGAGAGAUCGAGGAGGAUGUCAUUUAUGAUAUCGACACUGGCGAGCUGUUUGAUAUGAAGACUCAGACUUCGAGACAAAAAAGAUUUUGUACACCUUCCCAGGGGAUAACUUGGCUCUUCCCUCCAGAGUUGGUGCUAUGA